CCUUGAACCAGCUGAAUGAUCCUUACAUAGUGAAGAGUAAAUCUAAAGUCACAUGCAGUAGGUGAUCUUUCUGUGUCUGGCGUAUGCAGUAGGUGAUCUUUCUGUGUCUGGUGUAUGCAGUAGGCGAUCUUUCUGUUUGACUUAUGCAGUAGGUGAUCUUUCUGUGUCUGACUUAUGCACUAGGUGAUCUUUCUGUCUGACUUAUGCGGUAGGUUAUCUUUCUGUCUGGUGUAUGCAGUAGAUGAUCUGUGUCUGGCGUAUGCAGUAGGUUAUCUUUCUGUCUGGUGUAUGCAGUAGGUGAUCUUUCUGUGUCUGGCGUAUGCAGCAGGUGAUCUUUCUGUGUCUGGCGUAUGCAGCAGGUGAUCUUUCUGUGUCUGGCGUAUGCAGUAGGUGAUCUUUCUUUGGCGUAUGCAGUAGGUGAUCUUUCUGUGUCUGGCGUAUGGAGUAGGUGAUCUUUCUGUGUCUGGCGUAUGCAGUAGGUGAUCUUUCUGUGUCUGACUGUGUCUGGCUCUUGCUACAGUGUACUACUGUAUUCACAGCUUUGUGUCAUCCUUAAUUGGAAAUAAUAAACAUAAGCAAGGAAAUGGUAGGAUUCUGCAAACUGUUUGCUACUGUAAUUCAGGGACUACGCUUUGAAAUGAAAGCAGAAAGUACAUGUCCUAUUAGAUAGGUUUUUCUAGAUAAGCCAGUUAUAAAGCAUGUUUUUUUCUUUUCGUUUGUCAUCAAAAGGAAAGGAAGGGUUAGCAGUACACUUAAAGAAUAGUAUCAAAUAUACAAAUUCUCUUUAAACAGAACUCGUUUCUCUUGGAAACAGGGCACAUGAGAGGUACAGGUGAUAAAUAGUUGUACAUCAGAAGGUAGAGACGUGGUACAAGGAAUUCCAGGCCAGCUAAACGAUGCAGUGACAGGGCACCGUAAGAACAUGUUACAAGCACUGAAGAUGCUACAGGAGCUAAACAAACAAGUCUUCUUGGUGAAAUAAUUUGGCAGAUAUUUACAGUUCAGAAGAACAAAACGUCAAAAUGUAAGGCAUGAAAUAUUUCUUGGCAGACCACGGUUUGACACAUUCCUUCUGUCCAGUUAGGUACACGGUGGCUGGACAUGUUCUGGCACUUUU
This 1117-nucleotide long non-coding RNA is filed under the name Homo sapiens (human). RNAcentral's name for it is "HSALNT0036239". Lineage: Eukaryota; Metazoa; Chordata; Mammalia; Primates; Hominidae. The record is from RNAcentral.